Molecule: ribosomal RNA, 500 nt
Filed under: uncultured Verrucomicrobiota bacterium
Lineage: Bacteria; Pseudomonadati; Verrucomicrobiota
Description: bacterial SSU rRNA
Rfam family: Bacterial small subunit ribosomal RNA
Source: RNAcentral
AAAGGCGAAUUAAUACCGCAUGUGGCCAGAGGGGACAUCCCUUCAACGCCAAAGUCGCAAGACGCUUCCUGAUGAGCUCGCGGCCUAUCAGCUUGUUGGAGAGGUAACGGCUCACCAAGGCUAUGACGGGUAGCUGGUCUGAGAGGACGACCAGCCACACUGGAACUGAGACACGGUCCAGACACCUACGGGUGGCAGCAGUCGAGAAUUUUUCACAAUGGGGGAAACCCUGAUGGAGCGACGCCGCGUGGAGGAUGAAGGUCUUCGGAUUGUAAACUCCUGUCAUGCGAGAACAAGAAAGUGAUAGUAUCGCAAGAGGAAGAGACGGCUAACUCUGUGCCAGCAGCCGCGGUAAUACAGAGGUCUCAAGCGUUGUUCGGAUUCAUUGGGCGUAAAGGGUGCGUAGGCGGCGUGGUAAGUUGAGUGUGAAAUCCUAGGGCUUAACCUUAGAACUGCACUCAAUACUGCCAUGCUAGAGGAAUGUAGAGGAGAGUGGAAUU